AUACUUACCUGGCAGGGGAGAUACAAUGAUCACAAAGGUGGCUUUCCCAGGGUGAGGCUUAUCCACUGCACUCCACAUGUGCUAACCCCUGUGAUUUCCCCAAAUGUGGGAAACUCAAUUGCAUAAUUUGUACUAC
Small nuclear RNA from Fukomys damarensis (Damara mole-rat), 136 nucleotides. Its record names the gene U1. It matches the Rfam family "U1 spliceosomal RNA". From Rfam's summary of the family: U1 is a small nuclear RNA (snRNA) component of the spliceosome (involved in pre-mRNA splicing). Its 5' end forms complementary base pairs with the 5' splice junction, thus defining the 5' donor site of an intron. NCBI's taxonomy places the organism in Eukaryota, Metazoa, Chordata, Mammalia, Rodentia, Bathyergidae. The record is from Ensembl.